GACGAACGCUGGCGGCGUGCCUAAUACAUGCAAGUCGAGCGGAGUUAGUUGAAAGCUUGCUUUCAACUAACUUAGCGGCGGACGGGUGAGUAACACGUGGGUAACCUGCCCCUUAGACUGGGAUAACAUUCGGAAACGGAUGCUAAUACCGGAUACACAACUUGGUCGCAUGGCCGAGUUGGGAAAGACGGAGCAAUCUGUCACUAAGGGAUGGACCUGCGGCGCAUUAGCUAGUUGGUGAGGUAACGGCUCACCAAGGCGACGAUGCGUAGCCGACCUGAGAGGGUGAUCGGCCACACUGGGACUGAGACACGGCCCAGACUCCUACGGGAGGCAGCAGUAGGGAAUCUUCCGCAAUGGACGAAAGUCUGACGGAGCAACGCCGCGUGAGUGAUGAAGGUUUUCGGAUCGUAAAGCUCUGUUGCCAGGGAAGAAUGCUUGGGAGAGUAACUGCUCUCAAGGUGACGGUACCUGAGAAGAAAGCCCCGGCUAACUACGUGCCAGCAGCCGCAGUAACAC
RNAcentral lists this ribosomal RNA (519 nucleotides) under uncultured bacterium. RNAcentral describes it as "bacterial SSU rRNA". It matches the Rfam family "Bacterial small subunit ribosomal RNA", at positions 28 to 526 of the family's 1533-position model. The record is from RNAcentral.